RNAcentral lists this non-coding RNA (24 nucleotides) under Arabidopsis thaliana (thale cress). Lineage: Eukaryota; Viridiplantae; Streptophyta; Magnoliopsida; Brassicales; Brassicaceae. The record is from RNAcentral.
AAUUAUGGGUCUUAUGAAAUUAUG